GAUAGGGUGGGAGGGCUGUGAGCUGAAAACCAAUGAGCUCCAAUGUGUGUUUUCACAAGGUUUCUCUGGCCACACAUAGAGUUCCUUCUAUCUUGGCUCUGGUAUUUCUGCUUUUAUUUCUCCCAGCGGUAGACAGAUGAAUGGCCCCCAAAGAUGUCCACGUCUUAAUCCCUGGGAUCUGUGAAUAUCAUACCUUCCAUGGCAAAAGGGACUCAGCAGAUGGGGUUAAACUGAAGAUUGUCAGAUGGGGAGAUUAUCCUAGAUUAUCUGGGCUGGCCCAGUGUCAUCAUGAGGGUCCUAGUAAAUGAAAAAGAGUGGUGAGAGGGUCAAGCCAGAGAAGUGACAAUGGGACUAGAGGAUGGAAUGAUGAAAGCAAAAGGCAAAGGAUAUGGGAAACCGCUAGAAGCUGGAAAAAACAAAGGACAGAUUCUUUCCUAGAAUUCUAGAAUGUAAUCCUGCCAACACCUUGACUUUAGCUCCAUUUCACACUUCGGACCUCCAGAACUAAGAGAACUCAGCUGUCUUGUUUGAAAGCAUGGAAUUUAUAGACGUUGGUUACAGCAGCCAUAGGAAUGAAUAUACUCCAAUCACAAAGUCGAGAUGCUCCUAUUAAUUCCACCCCCACCUUCAGGACAUCGCCGACACAACUGAUAGCAUUUAUCAAAACUAAGCUAUCAGCUACGUGGUGACCAUGUUGCAGAUGUGAGCAGGUAGCCAGGCCUCCCCAACCUUGUGAGGCAGAUGAGGUCUUCCAUACUGACAACAUCUCUGACAGGAACCCAGCCCUUUUCUGGCAAGAGCAUAGCCUCUCUCUGUGCCUGCUGUUGUCAAAACUCAGCAUGGCUGAAAAAGAAAUAGACUCUAUAUUCCUUGUGUACAUUUGGUACAGGGCACACAGUCCAGCCUCCUUGGAUAUCUGAAGUCAAGCAACACAGAAAGAGGUGUCUGGUUUUCCCUGCAGAAAAGACCUUGAGCAGUGGUGAUGAGGGGCCCCACCCAAUCUCUCUACUCAUUUCAAGAAAGUCAGAAGGGUUGCUUGGGUUAAUUAACAACCAUGAACAAGAAACUAUGCCAAGCAUCUUUAAAAGAAGCUUACCAACCAGUUGGAAAAGCAAAAUGUUGAUGUCCGCAAAAGACAUCACAUCAAAGACAGCAAGAUAUGACAUAGUCAUGAGGCCUGCCAGAGCCUGGAGAACAGACACUUCCUAAAGCUUCUUCUGUUUUGCUGUCCCUCCUACUUAGGCACCUGCCUACGUGCAGAUCAGGCACCCUGAGGGUGCAAAGGGCUUCAGUUUCCCUUUUACAAAAUGAUAUGCACUUGACAAUCAUUAAGUCACUGAACAGACUUUAAUUGCCCUCCCUUGUCUGCACCAGGCCCUGGGUCCAGCGGACCAAGUCCCGCCCUACAGGGACUUCUUGUGCAGUGGAGAAGCAGGAGGAAAGACGGUCAUCAGUUGUGCAGGGAGAUGGUGCUUUGUGAUGGUGUCCAUGAUCACAUGGAGCCCAAAGUGCUCUGAGCAUCUCCAAGACACAGCAAAUCCCAUGUCCUAGCUAUCGCUAUCAUUUUCCUUCUAAUAUACAUUAAUAGAAAUAGAGAGCUAUUAAAGACAAAAUGAUUGGGACUUUCCUGGCAGUCCAGUGGUUAAGACUCCACUCUGUCACUGCUGAGGUCACAGGUUCAAUCCCUGGUCAGGGAACUAAGAUCCCAUAAGCUAAAUGGUGUAACCGAAAAAAAAAGUGAAAAUGAUUAUCUGUAUAGGACCCAGCAUCCAUGUAUGAACCCUGAGGAGGGUGCACAUGCCACAUGUGGGGGCCAUCGAUGGGGCAGAAGAUACCCCUGGGCUCAUCCCCUGUCCGUCUGUAAAUGAAGCUUAUGAUGCCUAUCUCACCAGAGAGCCUGGGAGAAUUCUUCCUAUCCAGGCCCCAGACAUCUGGCAAGAUGACAGUUGUUCCCUGUAUGCCAGGAAUAUUGCUAUUUUGUGGUUUUCUUAUUUGUUUGCUAUUUCCUAGAAAAAAGAGGUCAGGCUACCAUUUCAUCAACCAGUGAGGCCUUUGGGAUUCCCACACUGCCGCCCACCCCCAAAAACCUUGCCCCCACCAAUCCUGGCCAUUGGGAACCCCUUCCCAGAACCCUGACUGGCUGAUGUCACAGACAGAUGACCUCACUGUGGCCAAGGAUCUCUGUGACAUGGGGGAGGGGGAAGGAUGUUUCUCUGUCACCCCAACCCCCCAUGUCUGUGGUGAAGUCAAUCGAAUUAGUGCUGCCCAAAGAUGCAGUCUACCUGGCUGGCUGCAUCAUCGAAGGACAGGUGGUCCUAACCCUGAACAGCACCCUGGUGGACCCCAUCGUGAAGGUGGAGCUUGUGGGAAGAGGUUACGUGGAGUGGAAUGAAGAAACUGGGGCGUCCCGCGAUUAUAGCCGAGAAGUUAUUUGCAACAACAAGGCUGACUACGUGCACAAGACAAAGACAUUCCCAGUGGAGGGUAAGGACCGGUAUGACUGCCAAUGUUAGCCAGAAUAGGAAACCAGGGUCUGGAAGAUAAACACAUCUGUCAAUCAAUCAACAAACCCUCAGGGAUAUGAGACAUGGGCAGAGGCUGGCUCCUGUGGUCACAGGGGAAGAGAAAGGAGGGAGAGGACUAGGAGAGAUCCUCGAGGGAAGCACUGACAAGCCCCCAGCUCUGCCAGAUUCAGAUCUAAAGUCUAGACAGACCUCAGGGAGCCUGGGCUGCUAGGGAACUAUAGGUCCUUUCCAAAAUGAGUGUUUCCGGGUAGUCCACAGUCAAUCAGAACGCUUGGCCAAUGCUUGUUUGAACAAAGUUUCAUUUCAGAUUUUUUUAAAAAAUUUUAGAUAGGGUAGCCAGGGAAGGUGUCACCAAAAGACUAUGGAGCUCAGAUCUAGUGAUGGAAGGGGUCCCUGCCUUGCAGAUACCCAGAUAUUGUUUGUGCAUUAGUUGCUCAGUCUUGUUCAACUCUUUGUGAUCCCAUGGACUUUAGCCCACUAGGCUCUGUCCAUGGGAUUUCCCAGGCAAGAAUACUGGCGUGAGUAGCCAUUCCCUUUUCCAGGGGAUCUUCCUGACCCAGGGAUCGAACCCAGGUCUCCCACAUUACAGGCAGAUUCUUUACCAUCUGAGCCACCAGGGAAACCCAUCCAGAUACUGCUGGACCUUAAUACUCAACAAUCAGGCCCCCUCUCUCUGUCCCAGUUAACCCACCUGGAAGAUGGGAACAGAAAGAAGUCCUGCCUCCUUAGAUUGUCUUGAGGACUUGAUGAUUUAAUGGCAUGUCUCAGGCUCAGAAUAGCAGGGGUUAUAGAGUAAGUGCUGAAUAGGUGUUAGUUCUUUCAACCAAAACAAUUUUUCAGCCCCUCAACCCCACAGCAUCGGGUACCACCCUUCUCCAUUUCCAAGGGAAGCAUCGUUUCCCCUCAGGAGCAUCAACCUCAAUUCAUUUACUCCACAAACAAACAGGUAUUAAGCACCUACUGUGCACAACAACCAUGCCAGGUACCAGGGAUGCAGCAGCAAAGAAAACAGAAGAGGUCCCUGGCAUCCCUGGGGUUGCUGUCAGACUGGGAGGACACACUCAUAAGAGGCUUUGGGGGAAAUGUAAGAAAAAAUAAAACAGGGAGAUCACAGAGAUGAGAGGGCGGUGUGAGUCCCUCCCUGGCCCACCACCAUCAUCACUCAGUCAAUCUGCUGUGUGCUGUGCAGUGAAGGCCAACGGCUGCCAGGGCAGGGAGAUUUGCCUGCUUUGGGCCCCAAGAUGUGUUUGUUGAGUAAAUGUGUGAUCGAACUUGCAGGCCAGACCUCCAGUUUCCCAGGCCCAGAGCAGGGGUGAGCAAGUCCCAGUGGGUAUAUUGGGGUGACCACCACCCACCCAGAGCUUCCAUCUCCAGCCCAACUGAGGUCUAAUAUUUAUGAGCCUUGGUGUUUUGGAUCCCUAAAACUCAGAGCUAGCUCAGGGACAGAGAGGCCAGAUCCAGAAAAAGCUAACUGCCAAAACAAUAAAGAAAGGGGGGGGGGGAUUCUAGAACCUUCUGAUGGCAUUGGUGUGUUUUGCUUUCAGAUAAUUGGUUAAGUGCAGGCAGCCACACCUUUGACUUCCAUUUCAACUUACCUCCCAGGCUCCCUUCCACCUUCACCAGCAAAAUCGGCAACAUCUUUUACUUCGUGCAGGCCUUCUGCAUGGGUCGGGAGCACAUUCUAGCCAAGAAGAGAAUAUACUUGAUGGUUCAAGGCACUUCCUCAAUUUUUCACGCGGAAAAAUCAUUGCAGAUCUUUGCUCAGAAACUACAUCUUCAGUCACCUGCUUCAGUAAUAGCCGGACGAACUGCCACAACCCCCACAGAAGGCAAUUCAGCCAUAUCUAUCCAAACGAAAAGGAACACGCACUUUGCCCCAGCCAUUUCAUUUCUCUUCUGGAAAAUUCUCCUACCACUGUCAUUUCAUUUGUGUGAUAGGACCUCUGCAUGCAUUGCCUGGGAGGCCAGAAACUGGUAACCACUUAAAUGUUUGUUGCAAAGGGAAUUAAAGUAACAGUUCACAGUCAAAGGUCAACUCUAUAGAUAGAGCAAAGAAAGAGAGAGCAAGACACAGCCAGAGACGAAAGAAUGAGGCAGCUCUCGGUAUCAGCACGUCCAUGUUACUGGGUUGGACGCAUAAAGCAAAGCUCAGAACAGCGUGUCUAGCCUGCACCGUUGGUGGUAAAAAUAAGAAAUGCACAGAACUUCCUUGCAGGUGUAACAAACUGUCUCUUUCCAGAGACCAGAGAAACUGGCAACAGACGGCUUACUGGCUGCCUCCUGGGGGGAGGGAAGCAGAGGGGAGAAGCAAAAUUUUUCUCCUUCCACUUUUUUUUUUAACAUCUUGAUUGAGAUACAAUUCUCAUACCUUAUUAUUCUUCCCUUUAAAGUGUCCAAACCCAUGGCUUUCCAUGCAUUCAUAGAAUUGUACAGCCAUCACCACUGUCAGUGUUAGAACACUUUAAUGCCUUCCCUCCCCCACCAUAAAGAAAAAGGAUGAGCGCUGAAGAAUUGAUGCUUUCAAACUGUGGUGCUGGAGAAGACUCGAGAGUCCCUUGGACAGCAAGGAGAUCCAACCAGUCAAUCCUAAAGGAAACCAACCCUGAAUAUUCGUUGGAAAGACUGAUGUUGAAGCUGAAGCUCCAAUACUUGGGCCACCUGAUGCGAAGAGCUGACUCUUUGGAAAAGACCCUGAUGCUAGGAAAGAUAGAAGGCAGAAGGAGAAGGGGUCGAUAGAGGAUGAGAUGGUUGUAUGGCAUCACCGACUCAAUGGACAUGAGUUUGAGCAAGAUCCGGAAGAUAGUGAAAGACAGGGAAGCCUGGCGUGCAGCAGUCUAUGGCGUUGCAAAGAGUCCGACACGACUGAGGGACUGAACAACAACCAAAGAAGUCUUGCAUCCCUUACCUGUUACCCUCAAACCUCCCUUUCCCCUCCCCCACCCACCACUACAUUCACUCUCUGUCUCCUGGGGAUUUGUC
Dama dama (fallow deer) is the source of this 5504-nucleotide RNA transcript. It is a transcript of the gene named arrestin domain containing 5, with no coding region annotated. NCBI's taxonomy places the organism in Eukaryota, Metazoa, Chordata, Mammalia, Artiodactyla, Cervidae. The transcript has 2 exons. The record is from RefSeq and is a predicted model, not a curated record.